UUUAUAGAAACAACAAGCCAAAUUGGCAAAACCAAUUUCUAUUCUUUGUAAAAUGAGAACUAUAACUAAUAUAGGUCAAGCUACAAAGGGCGCAUGGUGAAUGCCUUGGCAUCAGGAGCCGAUGAAGGACGUGAUAAGCUGCGAUAAGCUUCGGGUAGGCGCACAUAGCCUGAGAUCCGAAGAUCUCCGAAUGAGGAAACUCACAUGGGAAACCCCAUGUAUCAUUAAGUGAAUACAUAGCUUAAUGAAGGUAACCCAGGGAACUGAAACAUCUAAGUACCUGGAGGAAGAGAAAGAAAAAUCGAUUUUCUUAGUAGCGGCGAGCGAAAGGGAAAGAGCCCAAACCGGAAACUUGUUUCCGGGGUUGUGGACAUAGCAUCAAAGUGGAGGCUAUUGUAACUGAAGAGAACUGGAAAGUUCCACCGUAGAAGGUAAUAGUCCUGUAAGUGAAACGAGAAGACCACGAGUUAUGAUCCAGAGUACCACGAGACACGUGAAACCUUGUGGGAAGCAGGGAGGACCACCUCCCAAGGCUAAAUACUACCUGAUGACCGAUAGUGAAGCAGUACCGUGAGGGAAAGGUGAAAAGAACCCCGGGAGGGGAGUGAAAUAGAACCUGAAACCGUGUGCCUACAACCGCUCAGAGCCCCUUAUGAGGGUGAUGAGGUGCUUUUUGUAGAACGAGCCAACGAGUUACGGUAUGUAGCAAGGUUAAGUACUUAAAGUACGGAGCCGAAGGGAAACCGAGUCUGAAUAGGGCGACUAGUUGCAUGCCGUAGACCCGAAACCGGGUGACCUAUCCAUGGCCAGGUUGAAGCGAGGGUAAAACCUCGUGGAGGACCGAACCACGUUGCUGUUGAAAAAGCAUGGGAUGAGCUGUGGAUAGCGGAGAAAUUCCAAUCGAACCCGGAGAUAGCUGGUUCUCUCCGAAAUAGCUUUAGGGCUAGCGUCGAGUAUGAGUAGUGGAGGUAGAGCACUGAAUGGGCUAGGGGGCAUAGCGCUUACCGAACCUUAUCAAACUCCGAAUGCCACAUACUUUGAGCUCGGCAGUCAGACUACGAAUGAUAAGAUCCGUGGUCAAAAGGGAAACAGCCCAGAUCGUCAGCUAAGGUCCCAAAGUGUAAGUUAAGUGGGAAAGGAUGUGAGAUUUCUAAGACAACUAGGAUGUUGGCUUAGAAGCAGCCAUUCAUUAAAAGAGUGCGUAAUAGCUCACUAGUCGAGAGAUCUUGCGCCGAAAAUGUAACGGGGCUAAACUUACCACCGAAGCUACGGGCUUGAACUUAUGUUCAAGCGGUAGGAGAGCGUCGUAACCGGGUUGAAGUCGUACCGUAAGGAGCGGUGGACUGGUUACGAGUGAGAAUGUUGGCAUCAGUAGCGAGAUGUGGGUGAGAAUCCCACAGGCCGAAAACCUAAGGUUUCCUCAGGAAGGUUCGUCCGCUGAGGGUUAGUCGGGACCUAAGCCGAGGCCGAAAGGCGUAGGUGAUGGACAACUGGUUGAUAUUCCAGUACCACUACCAUCGUUAUUAUCGAUGGCGUGACGCAGGAGGAUAGUGUGUGCUAGCUAUUGGAUGCUAGUCUAAGCGUUUAGGCAGUGAGAGUAGGCAAAUCCGCUCUCAUAAUGCUGAGGCGUGAUGGGGAAGGUUCUACGGAACCGAAGUACAUGAUUCCACGCUGCCAAGAAAAGCGUCUAGAGAGAGAAGUAGUGCCCGUACCGCAAACCGACACAGGUAGGUGAGGAGAGAAUCCUAAGGCCGGCGGAAGAAUUACAGUUAAGGAACUCGGCAAAUUGAUCCCGUAAGUUCGCGAGAAGGGGUGCCUACGAGAGUAGGCCGCAGAGAAUAGGCCCAAGCAACUGUUUAGCAAAAACACAGGUCUCUGCUAAAGCGUAAGCUGAUGUAUAGGGGCUGACGCCUGCCCGGUGCUGGAAGGUUAAGGGGAACACUUAGCGCAAGCGAAGGUGUGAACUUAAGCCCCAGUAAACGGCGGCCGUAACUAUAACGGUCCUAAGGUAGCGAAAUUCCUUGUCAGGUAAGUUCUGACCCGCACGAAUGGCGUAAUGACUUGGGCACUGUCUCAACUGUAAAUCCGGCGAAGUUGUAGUGCGAGUGAAGAUGCUCGCUACCCGCGAUUGGACGGAAAGACCCCGUAGAGCUUUACUGUAGCUUAGCAUUGAGUUUUGGUAUUGUCUGUACAGGAUAGGUGGGAGACUAGGAAACCAGGGCGUCAGCCUUGGUGGAGUCAACCUUGGGAUACCACCCUGACAGUACUGAAAUUCUAACUGGCGGCCAUGAAUCUGGUCACAGGACAUUGUUAGGUGGGCAGUUUGACUGGGGCGGUCGCCUCCUAAAAAGUAACGGAGGCGCCCAAAGGUUCCCUCAGAACGGUCGGAAAUCGUUCGAAGAGUGCAAAGGCAGAAGGGAGCCUGACUGCGACACCCACAAGUGGAGCAGGGACGAAAGUCGGGCUUAGUGAUCCGGUGGUACCUCGUGGGAGGGCCAUCGCUCAACGGAUAAAAGCUACCUCGGGGAUAACAGGCUGAUCUCCCCCAAGAGUCCACAUCGACGGGGAGGUUUGGCACCUCGAUGUCGGCUCGUCGCAUCCUGGGGCUGAAGUAGGUCCCAAGGGUUGGGCUGUUCGCCCAUUAAAGCGGCACGCGAGCUGGGUUCAGAACGUCGUGAGACAGUUCGGUCCCUAUCCGUCGCGGGCGUAGGAAAUUUGAGAGGAGCUGUCCUUAGUACGAGAGGACCGGGAUGGACUGACCUCUGGUGUACCAGUUGUUCCGCCAGGAGCACAGCUGGGUAGCUAAGUCGGGAAUGGAUAAACGCUGAAAGCAUCUAAGCGUGAAGCCAACCUCAAGAUGAGAUUUCCCAUAGCGUAAGCUAGUAAGAUCCCUUGAAGAACACAAGGUUGAUAGGUCGGGGGUGUAAGCAUGGUAACAUGUUCAGCUGACCGAUACUAAUAGAUCGAGGGCUUGACCAA
Molecule: ribosomal RNA, 2979 nt
Filed under: Clostridium perfringens CPE str. F4969
Lineage: Bacteria; Bacillati; Bacillota; Clostridia; Eubacteriales; Clostridiaceae
Description: bacterial LSU rRNA
Rfam family: Bacterial large subunit ribosomal RNA
Source: RNAcentral